Molecule: small RNA, 29 nt
Filed under: Bombyx mori (domestic silkworm)
Lineage: Eukaryota; Metazoa; Arthropoda; Insecta; Lepidoptera; Bombycidae
Description: piRNA piR-bmo-1369955
Source: RNAcentral
UCAAUCACUGAUAAAACGCCAUUUAAAUU